This 72-nucleotide transfer RNA is filed under the name Schistocerca americana (American grasshopper). Its description in RNAcentral is "tRNA-Pro". It matches the Rfam family "tRNA". Rfam says of the family: Transfer RNA (tRNA) molecules are approximately 80 nucleotides in length. The record is from RNAcentral. RNAcentral also lists the same sequence under 1 other name. Lineage: Eukaryota; Metazoa; Arthropoda; Insecta; Orthoptera; Acrididae.
GGCUCGUUGGUCUAGGGGUAUGAUUCCUGCUUCGGGUGCAGGAGGUCCCGAGUUCAAAUCCCGGACGAGCCC